CCUACGGGUGGCAGCAGUGAGGAAUAUUGGUCAAUGGCCGCAGGUCUGAACCAGCCAAGUCGCGUGAGGGAUGACGGCCCUAUGGAUUGUAAACCUCUUUUGUCAGGGAGCAAAGGGCGCCACGUGUGGCUCUUUUCGAGUACCUGAAGAAAAAGCAUCGGCUAACUCCGUGCCAGCAGCCGCGGUAAUACGGAGGAUGCGCGCGUUAUCCGGAUUUAUUGGGUUUAAAGGGUGCGUAGGCGGACGAUUAAGUUAGCGGUAAAAUUGCGGGGCUAAACCCGGGCCGGCCGUUGAAACUGGGGAUCUUGAGUGGGCGUGAAGUAUGCGGAAUGCGUGGUGUAGCGGUGAAAUGCAUAGAUAUCACGCAGAACUCCGAUUGCGAAGGCAGCAUACCGGCGCCCGACUGACGCUGAGGCACGAAAGCGUGGGGAUCGAACAGGAUUAGAUACUCCUGUAGUC
This 459-nucleotide ribosomal RNA is filed under the name uncultured bacterium. Its description in RNAcentral is "partial 16S ribosomal RNA". It matches the Rfam family "Bacterial small subunit ribosomal RNA", at positions 338 to 795 of the family's 1533-position model. The record is from RNAcentral.